GCGGACGGGUGAGUAACACGUGAGUAACCUGCCUUAGACAUUGGGAUAGCCUCGGGAAACCGGGAUUAAUACCAAAUAAAAUCAUAAUGACACAUGUCAUAACGAUCAAAACUCCGGUGGUCUAAGAUGGACUCGCGUCCCAUUAGCUAGUUGGUAGAGUAAAAGCCUACCAAGGCGACGAUGGGUAGCCGGCCUGAGAGGGUGAACGGCCACAUUGGAACUGAGAAACGGUCCAA
Molecule: ribosomal RNA, 236 nt
Filed under: uncultured Eubacteriales bacterium
Lineage: Bacteria; Bacillati; Bacillota; Clostridia; Eubacteriales
Description: uncultured Clostridiales bacterium partial 16S ribosomal RNA
Rfam family: Bacterial small subunit ribosomal RNA
Source: RNAcentral